UUUGCGCAAGGGAUAGCAGCGAAAAGCUCCCGUUUUUCACGGGACUUGUAGCGUAUAGCCCGGCCCGAA
RNAcentral lists this small RNA (69 nucleotides) under Gramella sp. Hel_I_59. RNAcentral's name for it is "Flavo-1 RNA". Lineage: Bacteria; Pseudomonadati; Bacteroidota; Flavobacteriia; Flavobacteriales; Flavobacteriaceae. The record is from RNAcentral.